Molecule: transfer RNA, 71 nt
Filed under: Heremites auratus (Golden grass mabuya)
Lineage: Eukaryota; Metazoa; Chordata; Lepidosauria; Squamata; Scincidae
Description: tRNA-Gln
Rfam family: tRNA
About the family: Transfer RNA (tRNA) molecules are approximately 80 nucleotides in length.
Source: RNAcentral
UAGGAAAUAGUAUAAUGGUAGUACGAGGGGUUUUGGGCCCUUAGGUAUAGGCUCGUGUCCUAUUUUUCUAG